GUGCGAUCCGAAAGUCGUGAUUUUGUGAUGGUUAAAUUCCAUCUUCCCUAGAUAUCGGGGAUAAUGUGUAUCUCACAUUUUAGAGAUUGGCAACCUCUAAGGUGCAAGCAUGAGAUAGAAGCGGGUAAUGCUAAACCUUAUGGCAAAUUCCUGCAAACAGAGUUAGAUAUGAUUACGAGAGAAACCUAUGUCUGAAUUGUCGUAAGGUUUAAUAUGCGAAAUAAGGUUGAAAACGCAUUGACCAAAAUGGUACGAAGCAAAAGAGGAGUCAAAGUUUUAGUUUCUUUGAUUAUGGAUAUUCUCAGCUUCCGGCAAAUAGUAGGAAUCUAAGUCUAACGUGAAACAAAGUCAUGGAACGGAGUAACCACAUGGAAGCUCUUAUUAUUCUUUGUUUAAGAAGGAUAACUAAGAAGGUGGCCAACUGAAUGCUUCUAUGUGGAGGGAUUGUUUAAGAAGCAAAUGCUCAAAGUAACACUUGGGAUAUGCAGACGUGGACACUGUAGUUUGGAAGGUAAAGUUAUGAGUAGUAGUGAAUAUGUUAUGAGCCAACAAAAAGUUAGGUAUAAAUGGAACGAAAUUCCUUGGCGUAAGCUGGAGAAAUCUUCAUUUAAGCUACAAAAACGAAUUUACCGAGCUUCUAAGUGUAAUGAUAUCAAAAAGAUGCAUAAGCUUCAGAGAUUAUUACUCAAAUCAACAAGUGCAAGAACACUCGCUGUCAGAAAGGUGACUCAGGAUAACAGGGGAAAAAAGACAGCAGGCAUUGACGGAAAAGCUAGUCUUAAUCAAAAAGAAAGAUUGCAAUUAGCAAACUCUUUGGAUAUAAGAAAAAAAGCAAAACCAUCAAGACGUGUCUGGGUCCCAAAAUCUGGAAAACCACUGGAGUAUCGCCCCCUUGGUAUACCCACGAUAGCAGAUCGAGCAAAACAAACACUUGUCAAAAUGGCACUAGAACCGGAGUGGGAGGGAAAGUUCGAGUCAAACACUUUUGGUUUUAGACCUGGUAGGUCAUGUCAUGAUGCAAUAGCGGCUAUAUUUAUUUCACUUGGAAGGAAAACAGCAUUUAUUCUGGAUGCUGAUAUUUCUGGAUGCUUUGAUAAUAUUAACCAUCACGCAUUGCUAGAAAAACUCAAUACCACACCAACUUUAAAGAGAAUUAUAAAAGGAUGGUUGAGAGCAGGCGUUAUGGAAGAUAGAAAGUUUAAACCUACUAAAUGUGGUAUAAUUCAAGGAGGAACAAUUUCUCCUUUACUUGCUUGUAUUGCAUUACAUGGAUUAGAAAGUCAUAUUAAAAAAGCAUUAGUAUGUGAACUUUUUCAAUACGCCAAAAGGAAAUAUGGUAGCAAGGCAUCACGUACAGUAGCACAACAAUCAAUAAGUGUAAUUGCUUACGCCGAUGAUUUUGCGGUCCUACAUGAAAGUAAAGAAAUCAUUCUUAAGGCAAGGAUAAUAGUCGAGGAAUGGCUAAAAACCAUUGGACUAGGAUUAAAAAUGUCAAAGACAAAGAUUUCUCACACUUUAAAUGGAGAAGAACCAGGAUUCAAUUUUCUUGGAUUUUCUAUAAGACAUUAUCCAACAAGAAGUAGUAAGAAAGGUUACAAGUUAUUAAUGAAACCAAGUCAAGAAUCUAUAAAACAGCAUAAAUUCACUAUUAAACAUAAGCUUAAAGGAUUACGUGGAGCAACGCAAGAAGCAGUAAUAAAAGAACUUAAUCCUAUAGUUAGAGGGUGGAGUCAAUAUUAUAUGUUAGUAGUUUCUAGGAAAACCUUUGAAUUAAUGAGUGAUAUAGUGCAUAGAAACCUUUGGAAAUGGGCAGUCCGUAGACAUCCAAACAAAGGUAAAUGCUGGAUUAAGAGGAAAUACUUUAAUAAGUAUAAAAAUGACAACUGGAGAUUUAUGGCAAGUAACAAGAUUCAUCUUAUUAGACACAGCGAUCAUGCUAUCAAACGGCAUGUCAAAGUGAAAGGAACUAAAUCGCCAUAUGAUGGGGAUUGGAUCUAUUGGGGUAAUCGUUUAAGGAAGAUUCCAGAUAAGCCACCAAGGGUAACAAAAUUAAUGAAGUUGCAACAAGGUAAAUGUGCUCAAUGUCAACUUUGGUUUAAAAGUGAUGACGUCCUAGAGAUACACCAUAAAGACCUUAAUAGACGCAAUAAUAUGAGCAAAAAUUUAUCCUUGCUGCAUGGACAUUGUCAUGAUGAAGUACAUAGGAGGUGUGCAUGAAAAGCACCAAAUUAGAGAGAAGCCGGAUGAUGGGUAAACUAUCAAGUCCGGUUUUGAAGUCGAGUGAAGAAGGGCAACCUUCUCACUUAGAUAAC
Molecule: non-coding RNA, 2312 nt
Filed under: Wolbachia endosymbiont of Armadillidium vulgare str. wVulC
Lineage: Bacteria; Pseudomonadati; Pseudomonadota; Alphaproteobacteria; Rickettsiales; Anaplasmataceae
Source: RNAcentral